CCCCCCAUAAACCUUUUGCAAUGGCAAUCAGCGUCAGUAAAACAUAAUCAUUACAACUUUCAACAACGGAUCUCUUGGUUCUGGCAUCGAUGAAGAACGCAGCGAAAUGCGAUAAGUAGUGUGAAUUGCAGAAUUCAGUGAAUCAUCGAAUCUUUGAACGCACAUUGCGCCCUUUGGUAUUCCAAAGGGCAUGCCUGUUCGAGCGUCAUUUGUACCCUCAAGCUUUGCUUGGUGUUGGGCGUCUUUGUCUCCGGCUUGCCUGGAGACUCGCCUUAAAGUGAUUGGCAGCCGGCCUACUGGUUUCGGAGCGCAGCACAAGUCGCGCUCUCUUCCAGCCAAGGUCAGCGUCCACCAAGCCACCUUUUUUACCUUUGACCUCGGAUCAGGUAGGGAUACCCGCUGAACUUAAG
RNAcentral lists this ribosomal RNA (410 nucleotides) under Alternaria malorum. RNAcentral describes it as "eukaryotic LSU rRNA". The stretch from base 55 to 208 matches the Rfam family "5.8S ribosomal RNA". Lineage: Eukaryota; Fungi; Ascomycota; Dothideomycetes; Pleosporales; Pleosporaceae. The record is from RNAcentral.